UAACAAAGCCCUGGAAUGCCUAUGCUCA
Molecule: non-coding RNA, 28 nt
Filed under: Homo sapiens (human)
Lineage: Eukaryota; Metazoa; Chordata; Mammalia; Primates; Hominidae
Source: RNAcentral